This 327-nucleotide ribosomal RNA is filed under the name uncultured eukaryote. RNAcentral describes it as "partial 18S ribosomal RNA". It matches the Rfam family "Eukaryotic small subunit ribosomal RNA", at positions 1470 to 1796 of the family's 1831-position model. The record is from RNAcentral.
CCCUUAGAUGUUCUGGGCCGCACACGCGCUACACUGAAGGAGGCAGCGUGUACUCCUGGAUCGAAAGAUUUGGGUAACCCGCGAAUCUCCUUCGUGCUAGGGAUUGAGGUUUGCAAUUAUCCUUCAUGAACGAGGAAUUCCCAGUAAGUGCAAGUCAUAAGCUUGCGCUGACUACGUCCCUGCCCUUUGUACACACCGCCCGUCGCUACUACCGAUUGAAUGAUUUAGUGAGGACUUCGGACUGGGACCGAUGCGGCUUUCGGGCUGCGUCGGUAUUCUGGAAAGAUGUCCAAACUGUAUCGUUUAGAGGAAGUAAAANUCGUAACA